UACGGGGGGUGCGAGCGUUGUCCGGAAUCACUGGGCGUAAAGGGCGCGUAGGUGGUUUGAUAAGGGUGUGGUGAAAGCCCGGGGCUCAACCCCGGGUCUGCCGUGCCGACUGUCAAACUCGAGGGCUGUAGAGGCAGACGGAAUUCCGGGUGUAGCGGUGGAAUGCGUAGAGAUCCGGAGGAAGACCGGUGGCGAAGGCGGUCUGCUGGGCAGUUUCUGACGCUGAGGCGCGACAGCGUGGGGAGCAAACAGG
Molecule: ribosomal RNA, 253 nt
Filed under: uncultured bacterium
Lineage: Bacteria
Description: partial 16S ribosomal RNA
Rfam family: Bacterial small subunit ribosomal RNA
Source: RNAcentral